Molecule: ribosomal RNA, 492 nt
Filed under: uncultured bacterium
Lineage: Bacteria
Description: partial 16S ribosomal RNA
Rfam family: Bacterial small subunit ribosomal RNA
Source: RNAcentral
AGUGAGCGCUGGCGGUAGGCCUAACACAUGCAAGUCGAACGGCAGCACAGUAAGAGCUUGCUCUUACGGGUGGCGAGUGGCGGACGGGUGAGGAAUACAUCGGAAUCUACUUUUUCGUGGGGGAUAACGUAGGGAAACUUACGCUAAUACCGCAUACGACCUACGGGUGAAAGCAGGGGAUCUUCGGACCUUUCGCGAUUGAAUGAGCCGAUGUCGGAUUAGCUAGUUGGCGGGGUAAAGGCCCACCAAGGCGACGAUCCGUAGCUGAUCUGAGAGGAUGAUCAGCCACACUGGAACUGAGACACGGUCCAGACUCCUACGGGAGGCAGCAGUGGGGAAUAUUGGACAAUGGGCGCAAGCCUGAUCCAGCCAUACCGCGUGGGUGAAGAAGGCCUUCGGGUUGUAAAGCCCUUUUGUUGGGAAAGAAAAGCAGCAGGUUAAUACCCCGCUGUUCUGACGGUACCCAAAGAAUAAGCACCGGCUAACUUCGUG